UACAGAGGUGGCAAGCGUUGCUCGGUGUCACUGGGCUUAAAGGGUGCGUAGGCGGCAUGGUACGGCUCGGGUGAAAUCCCUCGGCCCAACCGAGGAAUUGCAAGGGCGACGGCCAUGCUUGGCUGCAUCAGGGGAAGAUGGAACUCCCGGUGGAGCGGUGAAAUGCGUAGAUAUCGGGAGGAACGCCGGUGGCGAAAGCGAUCUUCUGGGGUGCAAGCGACGCUGAGGCACGAAAGCUAGGGGAGCAAACGGG
Molecule: ribosomal RNA, 253 nt
Filed under: uncultured bacterium
Lineage: Bacteria
Description: partial 16S ribosomal RNA
Rfam family: Bacterial small subunit ribosomal RNA
Source: RNAcentral